AUGAUGCUUAUCAGUUAUUGCUGACAUACUACUCUUUCUCUAAAUUUGUAUUUACAGCCUGGUCCAGAAUGUGUCACUGACUCUGCCUCUUCCAUGCCAACUUCUAUGCCCACUGGCGAACUGCUGCUUCUUCAAACUUUGCAAGCCCUUCUCCACUCACAAUGCUUCUCUCCUAGUACUCUUGAAAGUAAACAAGAGGUUGGGGCAGGAGGGAACUCUUGAGAAUCCCUCGGAGUGUCAAACGAACUGCAGGAAUGGAUAGGAGUUGGAGAAGGCAUGGACAUGAGAUGGUAGAAGUACUGGAUUCUGGAGAUUUAUGAUUUGAUAGUAGCAGGAGAAUCUCUUGCGUGUGCGAUGAAAGCUAAGAUCCAGUCUUGAUUAAACAGGAUAGGCUGGAUAUGAUUUUGAGCACAAAAGGUUGAAAAUGUUGACCAGCCAGUAGUGUAGGAUGAUUUGAUAGCAGGAGCUAGAGCAAAAUUGAAAUGGCCGAGAAGAGAUAAUAUAUCACGUUUCUUGAUGGAAGUGGAAACCUGGAAGCUAUUGAUGAGGGAGCGAGUGCAUUCUAGUUUAUCAGGAGGGAGGCUGGCAUCAAAUUGUACUGUAUCAAGUGGUAUUCCAAGAAAUUACAGUGAAUUGACUGGGCUGGUGAUCUUGUCUUCUGAGAGUGGAAUGCUGAGUGAAGAAAACAGGGUCUUCAAGUGACUGAUUGCUUGAGCUGGAGGGUCUGAAGAAGGGGAUAUGAGGAGGAAAUCAUCCAUCAAGUGGUUGAGGAGGAUCCAGCAGUGUUUUGGAGAGAGUGUCAAAUAUUUUCAGGCUUCUACGGCAGCCGAAGGCUCAGCUCACCGCUACCACCCCUGCGCUGACUCGGGAGGGCGAAGACGAACAUGCGCUGUCCUCCGAAGCCUAUGCCAUCACCCGACCGCUUUUUUUCACACUCCGGACUCACCAUGCAGCCACCCAAGAGCUACAGCGUCGGAGGUCGCUCCUGGGCAGCUUACAGGCAAGCCCGCAGGCGCCCGGCCAGACUACAGGGGUCGCUGGUGCGCGGUGAGCCGAGGACACCCUGGCCGACCUAACCCUCCCUCCCCCCGGGCGGCACUCGGCCAAUUGAGCGCCGCCCCCUGGAAGCUCCCAUCCUCGGUUGGCAAAGGAAUAGCCUGGACUCGAACUCGCGACAUCCAGACUAUAGAGUGCAUCCUGCACUCCACGUGGAGCGCCUUUACUGGAUGUGCCACUCGGGAGCCCAAAGCGGAGAAUGCUUUAUAGUACUCGUGGAACAUGGUACUCCCGUAUCUAACCUGAGAGCUCCACAAUGUAAAAUAGAUAUUGAUCCAGCUCUUGGCGGUGGUGUGGAUAAACUAUGCAAAGAACGUCACAGUAGAUAAAAAAAAGUGAGAACAAACUCCCCCAGGGUUAAAUUCUUUAGAAGGCGUGGGUCACAGGAUUUGAGGGUAACUGAUAGGUCCCCACAAUCCACAGUGUGGUAGUCCAAAAACUCAGAGUGGCAAUAAGUAUAGAAACUAAGCUGAUGUCUUUACCUUCUAUUAUUUGUUUUUGGAUAUUAAGUGAUAGAGAGUGACACCUGAUGGUAGAGGCUGAGUGGGAACCAGAUGGAAUUGCUGAUACGAGAUUGUGUUCAGGGAUGUCAACAGAGAGGACCAAAGAUGAAGUACCGGAAGCGUAAGCUACUGCAGGAUUAGAGAUUGAAAACAAGAUAGGAAUGGCCGCUGUUGUUGAUGGUAUGACGCGGUUGUUGAGCCGGGCGUUAAUGGUUGAAAUGGAGUUUGCAAUGUGUUGGAUGAGAUCUUUUAAAUCAUUAAAUGUGCUCUGUUGAAGGUGGAGGACAGGAUAUUCUGUUAGAGCGGAGAGUUGAACUGGCUCUGUGGCAGCGGGUGCAGUGUGUGGAGUGGGAGAAGGGCGCCCUCUUGUAGUUGCUUGCCGGCGAGGAGGAAAGACAGGUUCAGCAGACACAGCUUCACAAUAGAGGUUGAAUAGAGGGAGCCGAUCGCUUCCAACAGGAAUAUUAAUGCCUUUGUCGAACAUGGCUUUUCAAAGCUUGGCAAUGGGCCAGUCUUUAUAAUGAAGACGCUGUGGGGGUUGAGUAGUGGAGCGGCGUUUUGAACGGCGUGGCUGCUUUGUAAAAUGAGAUUUCACGGUUGGCCAGAAAUCGUCUGUAUUGGUCAACUUCAGGUAGCUACGUUCUGUUGUCGUUGACAGUUAAAUCCCCUAAACAUCAUGGAAAGUAUCACUUGUCAAGAAAACAAAAGGUUAAUAUUUGUAAAAUGAGAUUUGUAGAUAUUUACAGCACUUAAAAAAAUUGAACUUCCAACAUACAAUAACUUAAAUAGAAUACUACUACAUGUAUACAUGCAGUAGAUCUUCAGUUAACAUCGCUUAUACUUAGUCUUCUGCGUACGGUGACCAGACGUCCUGAUAAAAUCGGGAUUGUCCCGAUAUUAGGGGCUUUGUCCCGCGUCCUGAUCGAGGUACUGUCGGGACGCCAUUUAUCCCGAUUUUUAGAGUAAAUGUUGAAAACCCAGGCAUAAAAUGUGAUAUUUUUUAUUUUCUCGUUAGAAAAUGCCAUAUGUGGCUGCUGUACUGUCUUGCGGUGCAACAGCAUACUGUACUGGUUUAGAGUGUGUUGUUUGAGUGGUUGUUUGCAUUAAAAUUUAUGCGGCUAUCUAAUCACGUUAACCUGCAAUCAUAUGAUGCGGUAUGCGGUAUGUGUUUUACUGGCGAAGUGUCAUGGUGGCUGGUGUUGUUGACAAACCUGUCCCUAAAAAGCAAAAAAAAAGUGCAAGUACCGAACGCAAUGGGAAAAAAAAUAAAAAAUUGGAUUCAAUCAUAUGACUGUGUUACAAAGACAUUUUGUAAAUUGUGUAAAAAAAGAGUGUAGCAUCACAAGGCAGCGAGUUGGAUGUGAGGCAUCACACCGGUGGGAUGCAACAUUAUUAUUAUUAUUAUUAUUAUUAUUAUUAUUAUUAUUUUUAUUUAUUGUGACUGUGAAUUGAAGCUUGCGAGAGUACUCAAAGCUCAAAAGUAAAACUGCAAUUUCAGCGCGAGCUGCAAGGAGUUCUACAGUUAUGUCAUUGGCAAAAAGGAUGUUAUGCGCAUGGCCAAGUCAUCCAGUUAGGAUUAGGAUUAUAAUUAGGAUUUCAUGGACAUUUCACGGACCUGUUUAAACAUUAAAUACACCUAAUAUUUUAGAGCACUUUAUAAGCCUAAAAAUAGUGGUACUUGUUUCCUUACUAAAACAGAGUGCUGUCAUUUGUUAAAAGGCAAGCAGGCAACAUCUCCCAAUAGUUGCUGUCAACAUUCUCUGUCUGGUGUGGACUUGUCCAUGCAUUGAGACUGCAAGUCUGCAUCCACUGAAUUGGUUGGAAGUGUAAGGCAAAGCUUUGCAAGUUAUACAGAUGUGGACAUAAAUUAGAACCAGUCCCAAAAUUCGGCUAUCCAAAGGUAUCUGGCAUUCUUUAAUAAAAUCCAUAUAUGCAACACAUUCAUUGUCAUGUUAUUUGCCCCAUCCAGGAAUUUAUUUUAUCAGUACUGAGUCAAAACAAAGAAAACGUGCCUAUUCGGGUCUAAAAUGCUAACUGUUUAAAAAGUAAACAGUAGGUUGUUUGAACCGAGGUAGCUGUGCUUGACUGGACCUGUAGUGCUGAUUUAACUUGGCUACAACCGACACAGGAAUACUUUUAUCUCUGCGCUGACUUUCCAGUUUGUUUUCUGAAAGCUGCUGUUUGUUUUACGUUCUGUUCAGCAGCCUCUGUAGUAGCCUUUUGUUUAAUGAAUGAUUCUGAAGUUAUAGCGAUCGAUCGUAUUUUCUUUAAGUCACAUUACAAGAUGUGCAAAACAAUUACCUCCAUCUGCAUGUCCAGUUUCUUUGGGAAAUGUCUUGUCACGAUCCUCUGUCGAAAUAUACUUGCUUGUUUUGCUUUGUCGUCCAUUUUUGUAUUUUACGUCUAAUGUUGAAAACUAGAUUUUAGCAACCUAAAUCAAAACAAUGCAGCACUGACUUUGUCCCACCUGCUGCGCACAGUACAGCAGGUCACAGAAAAGCCAGUACAGAUGCACUGAUACGGCUGAUUAAAACACCAUUGUCAUUUGAACAGUAAACAAGAAAGUUAACUGCUUUGGAGUAUUUUUUUUUAAAUUUAUAUUUCUCUAAGUUUUUGUUUUUGCCUAAGUGCAAUGCACACAAGAUGGAGAAGGAAUAAAAAAAAGCCUAUUUACGAAAGAAAAAUACGUAGUUUGUGUCGCUUGCGUUGUGCAGUAGUUCACAAGGUUUCUUUCCUUCCCUCACCAACUGAGUGUCCCGAUUUUUCACUCUUGCUAUCUGGUCACCCUAGUUCCGCACUUGCGGUUUAUUCCGAAUUUUACCAAAAAAUUACAAGAUUUUUUUUUUUUUUUUUUUAACUGGACGUUGUUUUUUACUGAUUUAUACCCGAUUUUCGUCUAUUAUUCAAUAUUGUCCCGGUACUAUUUCUAGGCAAUACGAUAUAUUUUUAUUAAAAUGCUGUUUUAUUUUUACUAUGACAUUGUAAUAAGCAGCCCUAUACUGUAUCCUAGGAUACAGCAGACGUUUAGACAUCAGAGGAUCAAAUUACGUUCAACCUGUGGUUCUCUGUCACUUCAUAAACACAUUAUCACCUGAUUAUGUUGGCCAAUCAAAGUCUUAUUAUUGUGGCAACUGCUUGGCAUAGUAAAUACUAGCUUGAUCAAAAACUAAAUUGAAAUAUUUGCACGAAAAUAUUAUAUUUUUAGUGGAUGAGGAAUGGGAAGAAAACGUAAAUCAGUUUAUGAAUAUUCAAAAGAAAACAAUUGUUUCGAAGUAUACAAAAAGCAAAAAUAGCAGAAGUGGGUCAGAUGAGGCAGAGGAUGCAUAGUGCUGCAAAUUACUGCUGCAUUGAGGUACAUGUUCACGCUGACAGUAAAAGAAAAAAAAUAAGCGACACAUUAAAAUAAAACAUUAAAGUGAGCUGAGAGACAAGCAAUCCAUUUAUGCGACUUAAUAAAAAGACAGCACAGUGUUAAUGAGUUUUCAGAGAGCUGUGCUUUGCUGGACAGCCAAUUGCAGAGAGGUAUGUAUUGGUGACUUCAUACGACAGUACUGUCUGUCCAUCAGCUAAAUCUCCCUCCCGACCUCUGAGGGCGCUAAGUAACGGGAACAGAGUACCCUGGACUGCUUGCCCUGACACUUCGUUCCGAGGGUUAAAAGGAAGUUGAUCAUUUAGAAAAGGGGCGGUUAUUAUUAGACAGCUAACACGUUCCAGAGUUGUCGCCAGAGGCCAGCACAAACAACGGACCAGCACUGCACUUGUAUCACAAAUAACUGUAGUUGCACCACAAGCACAAAUUAACGCACUAAUGGACUUGUGUAUGUGUUUUGUGUUUCGUGUGGGUGUACAAUAAACAGGACUAUUAUUUCAGGACCAACCUGGGGAUUACAAAGUAAGUAAUACACGCCGCUGUAUUACUUACCAUCAUUAUUGUUUACUGUUUGUUUUGCUGUCAGUCACUGGACAUACAAACCCAUUAAACAACUUUGCACCCGGAUUAUAAUUGUCUGUCUGUUCAUUGAUCACUUGCACCUGCACACUGUUAACCACUUUGCCACAGGCACGCAUUGAUGGAAAUGUCCAGUAUGAUUUUUGACGCGUCUCCCCAUGUCUUGCACCACCCAGUUCUGUCAAUUUUCUUUUCUCUUUAUGAUUUCAAGGCUAAUAAACCUGGCUUGUUUUGUACUGAUGUCAUGUUCUUACCGUAUGUAGGUACUAUUUUUUUAAAAGAUAAAACCCGAAAACGCGGAACACUUGUUAUACUGUAUGUUUUGGUUUUGUAAAAUUAAAACAACGUAUCACUGGGUAAAUGCUUAGAAUGCAACGUGAUUUUGCUUGUAUGUGUGGCCAUGCUUACAAAGGAAAAAGGGUACUGGUAUACUAGUCGUACCUUAAUAACAUUUUCAAUUUCAUGCAUUUUUAGGAGAGUUUACAACAAACUUGUCUGUGGCCUGAGAUUGAGGUGGGACAAUAAACUUACAGUUAACUACAUAGCAAAGCAAAAUAGCACAAGACACUCUUAAAAAGCAUAGGUAGCCUCGUAUUAUUAUAAAGGUUCAGUACAAUGGAUUGCUGUAUGUAUGUACUGCAUAUUUAGAACAUGGUUUGGUUGUUAGUAGCUUUUUGAUCCCAAAAUCUCAUCAAGCAGCUUCUUGAAGGAUCCCAGGGUGUCACUUCAACAACAUUACUGGGGAGUUGGUUCUGUGUAAAAAAGUGCCUCGUAUUUUCUGUUCUGAAUGCCUCUUUUCACAAUAUAUCCGAGCAUCUUGCUGGACUUUUUUUUAUAGCUUCCCCACAUUGUCUAGAUGAUGACAUUUCUGAGUCAACAUGAACU
This is a long non-coding RNA of Acipenser ruthenus (sterlet), 6393 nucleotides long. RefSeq lists it as uncharacterized. The record is from RefSeq and is a predicted model, not a curated record. Lineage: Eukaryota; Metazoa; Chordata; Actinopteri; Acipenseriformes; Acipenseridae. The transcript is spliced from 3 exons.